Macaca fascicularis (crab-eating macaque) is the source of this 3678-nucleotide long non-coding RNA. Lineage: Eukaryota; Metazoa; Chordata; Mammalia; Primates; Cercopithecidae. The record is from Ensembl.
UUUUUUUUUUUUUAUUUUUAUUUUUGGUAACAUCUGGUAUUCUUUCCUUUUUUUGGCAGUCUCUGCUUUUUCACUUUCCUCAUGCAGCAGCCCUGCGAGCCCCUGUAAUUGGGUUUGAAGGUGUCCAAAGCCAUUUGCUGUGCCGCAGCUCUGAUUUCUGCGUCAAGUCCUAGCAGCCAACCAACCUGGGAGCCAGGCCCUGCUGGCGUCCCCGAGACAGCCCCGGGAUUAUCCAGGGCUCCAGGGCUCAGCUCUGAGCUGGGAUCUCCACCUCCCAGACCAGAGAUCCAACUCACUGCCUCUAAGGGAGUCUGGGAGGAAAAGAAACAGACAAAAACAAUCUCCUUCCCCUCCCACUUUCAGCGUUGAAAGUCAAACCCCCUGAGAUGACAGGGUGUUCACCCGAUUCCAAAGAACAGGGUUUCCUCUCCCCACCACCCAGGCUGUGGGGCUGUGCCUUGGCCUGCUGUGUGCGACACUUCCCAGGAAGGGAGCAAGGUCACCCCCAACAUGAGGCAGCAGAGUCACCCCCAGCCCCAAAUUUCUGGGUCAGAGUAAGUGGACCAAGUGGGCCUGAAAGCUCACGUUCAAGGCCUUUGUAGACACCCCCCAAAGACUGUGGUUUCAUUUCCGCUGGCAAGCUGAUACCGAGCUGGGCGUGUAGGGUGCCUGCAUAAGUGUGCAUGUGUCCCUCCUUAGAACUGUAUCGAUAAUGGAAGAAAUAAAAGGAGAAAAACAUUUGGCCAAGCCCUGGGAAGGGCAGAGGGACACCCCGCUUUCUCUGCCCUAUGGACACCUGAGUCUCCCGGCUCUGCACAGCCUCAGAGAACCAGACCUCUGUUCUAACAGGCAGAGUGGUCCAACCUGCCACCCAGAGACGAAAAAGCACCAGGAAAAAGACCAAUGAAAACAGCCUUUCAAAUUCCCAGACCCUACAGACCAGCCUCUCAUGCAGUCUUGUCCAGCAAACUCGGGCCUUAAAAAAAAUAAAGGCAAGACGAGGUUUUCUUCUGAGAUGAUCUCUGCUUCCAUGAAAAGCUCCCCAAGUGUCGGGCAGCCCUGCAGAAUAUUGCUGCUCUCAAUAUAUUAUGAGCCGAAUAAAGUAGAGCAAUUGCUAAAAUGUUUGACUCAUUAGGAGGAAAAAUGAAUGGAAGCAGCAGGCAACUUGUUCGAAAGGGCAGCUAUCAGAGGACUGAGGUGGAUUCUGAAAUGCUCAAUCCCAAAGUGAAGGGACAAAUCUGUAUUCACACACACACACACACACACACACACACGAGUUAGAUUUUCUUUUACAACAAAACCACAUUUUAUUUACAAGGCCAGGCCUCCUCCCAGCUGGUAAAUGCAUUUAGAAGCAAUGAAAUCAGGCUUCACAAAUAAUAAUGGACAUCGUUGUUAAGUGAAAAGGGAAGCACUUGAUCCCAAGACAAACUUCCCCAUGCUGGGCUUUGCUGGGAAGGAAUUUGAGGCAGAAGACAGAAAUGGAAAGACAUCGUUAACACAGGCCCAGCCAAGCGGCCAACAAGCCCCCAGCAGCUGCAAGCUUUCAGCAGGGCCUUACCUGGCCAGUGACUCCCCCACACACAGGGUGCCAAGGGCCCCGCCCUCCCUGUUCCAUCUCUAACAACUGCCCAUGCACCUGCCCUUAGGGGAACUCCAGCCGAGAGGUCUGCUGCCUGCUGUCCCCAGAGCACCGGGCAUGUGCGUGGCUGCCUGCACACACACAUGUACAUUGCUACAUACACAGCAGCACAUGGGCUGCUGCUGCUCCUUACCCUGCAUUAAUUCAAAUCCAACUCUCUUAUCUUUAAUGGCUAAGCUACAGUCCAGGAGAAACAUAUACAGAAUUAUUGUUUCAGUGAUGACGGGGGUGGGAAGGGGAAGGAUGUGGGGGGAUGGGUCCCAGGCUCUUAAAAUCGUGUGCCACCAACGUCACAACCGCCAUCAUGAUGUGUACGCAUGUUUACAAGAAAUGUUCAGCAUCCAUCCGCCUGAGCUUGCAUCCGACUGGAGACUUUACACCUGCUUCCUACGAAGAGGGAGCUCUUGCCAGCAAGCCCAUGCUUACCCAUAAUCUACGAAGAGAUCUUUUCAUCUCCUCUCCGUGAACACUUGGGGAGGGGCUGGGACUCCAGGCGACACGGAAAUGCCACCACACGCACACUCGACGGAACACAACACUUUCUGAGCUGCCAUCCAUUUUUAAUUUAUUGGAUCCAAGAGAAAAAUAACAACCGUAGGGAGGGGGGACGAGAAGGGUGGAGGGGGAGAGAGCAGGAAUCAAUUCUUGGUGGAGAAAAUAAUCUAUGACUAGAUGACGCUUAAAGGCACGACAAGAGAUUUUAUGAAGUUCCCCUAACGGAGGGAAUAAUGAAGUGCCCAGCAGAGAAGGAAAUGGAGAUAAGAGGGAGGCAGGUGCCAGGAGGAUGUCCAUCAGGGGUCUUGAAGGGUUAUUAGGGCACAAGGUGGGGGUGGGGACCCUGGGAGGGCACAACCAGGCGGAGUCUGAAGCAGGAAGCAUGACCCAGAUCACCCUUCUCUGUCCUGACCCUCGACCCUCUCAGUAGACAGUCAGAGGAGUCCAGCCUGCUCCAGGUCAGCUCUGCAGCCCCCUGACAAAGGCUGCCUCCCUCGAGGGACAGAUGCAUACCACAGCCACCACCCCAUGAGGUCCUGUCUGCCCCUCCUCAACUGAGGCAUACACCUCGAUAGCCAUUUCUGACUUGUGGGAGGGAGAGCAAGGGAAGGCGGCCAGUGCAAAACACGCUUCCCAGUGUGGGUUUCCCAGGAAAAUGAUCAGGGUCAGCGGGGGAAACUUUGGGGCUGGCCUGCAGACCAGGAGGUGGGAAUUCCAGAUCCACGAAGAGGGUUUAGAUACAGGAAGAGCGUCACUCCCAUACCUCUGGUCUACAGACUCCAGGCGGGAAAGUCGAAUGUUUGGGGAGGACCUCCCAAUGUACAGACUGUUUGCAGGACUCCAGCCUGAUUUUAGAAUGCCGAAGCAGCUCCCUGAAACAUUUUCUCAGUUGUUCUACGGAGUCCAACCUCCUUCUCUCCCCCACUGCACACACCUCUCCAGAACCCCAAAAACUGAGCACAGGAGUCUGGGUCUCCCCAACACAAGAGCAGAAAAAAGAACAAGUGAAUAAGGAAAACAGUACUCAGGUAUAUCCACAGGUCUCGGCCAUCACUAAAAGGUUACAAAUUAAAGGCUUGACUAAUAAAACAGGCGCUUUAGAGAAAAAGAAAAGGAAAAGAUUUACCACAAUAGCAGUCCUUCUCAACACAUUUAGCAGGUUCUAUAAAACUGCAAAUGCCUUCCAUCUUCAGAGCCACAACAGGCUCCUAAUGAUGUGAUAUAAAAGCACUCUUUGUGGCCAAAUGAAGAGAUUUGUUUUUAUUUAACGUUAUGCUUUUUUCAAAGGUGUGGAAGAAAAGAGGGGCCUCCACACAGGACACUGGACCUCAAGGCUUUAGUUGGAGGAGUUUGGAUCUUCUGAGGCCAACAGCAAACAGCAAGGGCAGGAGUACUUUCAACAUCUCUUUUCCAAGGUAGGAAUUUAAACAUGACCCCCACACACACGCUUCUUUUUUUAAUUCUUAGCAGCGAAUCCAUUUCUGAGGCACAUGUUAAUCACAACAAUAUUGGCAUUCAACUUUUCUCGGUCAUUUCUGCGU